This 497-nucleotide ribosomal RNA is filed under the name uncultured bacterium. Its description in RNAcentral is "partial 16S ribosomal RNA". It matches the Rfam family "Bacterial small subunit ribosomal RNA", at positions 28 to 507 of the family's 1533-position model. The record is from RNAcentral.
GAUGAACGCUGGCGGCGUGCCUAAUACAUGCAAGUCGGGCGAACGGACGAGAAGCUUGCUUCUCUGAUGUUAGCGGCGGACGGGUGAGUAACACGUGGAUAACCUACCUAUAAGACUGGGAUAACUUCGGGAAACCGGAGCUAAUACCGGAUAAUAUUUUGAACCGCAUGGUUCAAAAGUGAAAGACGGUCUUGCUGUCACUUAUAGAUGGAUCCGCGCUGCAUUAGCUAGUUGGUAAGGUAACGGCUUACCAAGGCAACGAUGCAUAGCCGACCUGAGAGGGGGAUCGGCCACACUGGAACUGAGACACGGUCCAGACUCCUACGGGAGGCAGCAGUAGGGAAUCUUCCGCAAAGGGCGAAAGCCUGACGGAGCAACGCCGCGUGAGUGAUGAAGGUCUUCGGAUCGUAAAACUCUGUUAUUAGGGAAGAACAUAUGUGUAAGUAACUGUGCACAUCUUGACGGUACCUAAUCAGAAAGCCACGGCUAACUACGUG